Artibeus jamaicensis (Jamaican fruit-eating bat) is the source of this 1344-nucleotide long non-coding RNA. RefSeq lists it as uncharacterized. NCBI's taxonomy places the organism in Eukaryota, Metazoa, Chordata, Mammalia, Chiroptera, Phyllostomidae. The record is from RefSeq and is a predicted model, not a curated record. The transcript has 4 exons.
UAGAAGCAUUUUAAAUCAGUAGGUAAUGUGGUCAUAUUGCAUACUGUUCAAAGAAUGGAAACUGAAUUAAUCAAGAUUGCAACCAAACCACGUUUGCAUAAACAGUGAAUCAUAAUUUAGAUCCUGAAGUCUAAGACCCUGAAAACAUCUUCAAUUAGUUCCAGGUUUAGAAAUAAAAAUUGGAAUUCAAGGCCCAUUAAAGUUCCUGGUAGAAGACUGAGAUUCAAGAUGUGCUGCUCAGUGACGAGAGAGCCCCCCCAAACUGCCACUUGGUCCUGCCUCACCACUGGUUUUCCUCGGUGGGCGGAGGCAUCAAGGAAACUCCUGUUCAAUUGGCCAUGGCAACGCUGUGAGUCGAGAUGUGUUUAUUAUGCCGGUGCAGCCGCUCCUGAUGACAACCACGCUCACCUCCGACAGUGCUGCGGCUCCGUGUUCCUUCCCCCGGGGCCCGGAAAACCUCUUAUUCUUUUUGGUAGAAGCAGUGCAAGGUCCUAAAAUCUAGCCAUAAACAGGAAUUUGAUUUUGGAUGAGCACAGGUGGUACUUUUUUUUUGCUGUUUGAUAUUUUUUAAUUGAUUUUAUUGGGGUGAUAUUGGUUAACAAAAUUAUAUAGGUUUCAGGAAUACAAUCUAUAAUCCAUCAUCUAUACAUUGUAUUGCAUAUUUACAACCCAACAUCGGGUUUCCUUCCAUCACCAUUUAUCCCCCUUCACUCUCUUUUACCUCCUCUCACCCCCCCUUUCCCUCUGGUGAUCACCAAACCAUUAUCUAUGUCUAUAAGGCUUUGUUUUUUUGGCUUUUGUUUAAUCCCUUCAUCUUUUUCACCCAGCUCCCCAACCCCAGUUUCCUCUGACAGCUGCCAGUUUGUUCUCUGUAUCUGUGAGUCUGCUUCUAUUUUGUUUGUUUAUUUUAUUCAUUAGUUCUACUUGUCUUAGUCUGACUGGGUUACUUCACUUGGCAUACUACUAUCCAGGUUGUUUCAUGCUGUUUCAGAAGGUAAGACUUCUAGCAGCACAAUUUACAAUAGCCAAGAGUUGGAAGCAACCUAGGUGCCCAUCAGUAAAUGAAUGGAUCAAAAAAUUGUGGUACAUAUACACAAUGGAAUUCUAUGCAGCAGAGAGAAAGAAGGAGCUACUACCCUUUGCAACAACAUGGAUGGAACUGGAAAGCAUUAUGCUGAGUAAAAUAAGCCAGUUGUUGAAGGACAAAUACCAUAUGAUAUCACCUUUAACAGGAAGCUAAACAACAAAUCAAACAAACAAGCAAAAUAAAAACAAAGACGCUGAAAUAGAGAAUAGGCUGAAAGUACCAGAGGGGAGGGAAUUUCAGGGGAAAAGGGGAAGGAU